Long non-coding RNA from Papaver somniferum (opium poppy), 3604 nucleotides. RefSeq lists it as uncharacterized. NCBI's taxonomy places the organism in Eukaryota, Viridiplantae, Streptophyta, Magnoliopsida, Ranunculales, Papaveraceae. The record is from RefSeq and is a predicted model, not a curated record. The transcript has 9 exons.
CAAAAAAAAAAGAAAUCUAUUUAUUAUCAUAUUUAUCCGAGAAAAAAGAUAACCAAAUCCGGAAGAAAAAAAACAUGAACGAGAGAGCAAAUUCAGAGAAAGAUCUUGGAACAAACCCUAGAAACAAAUCAUUAAUGGCUGCAAAAUCAUGAUGAGUGCAUAAACAUAACAUAAUAUCUCCUUCACUGAAUCUCCAAUUCUCUUUUCUCUUCGACCUCUCACAGAAUUGUAACACUGAGGGUUCGAGAUCGAGAAUUUAAUGAUAAAGAAGAUCGUUGUCUGAUUCCGUUGGCAGAGUAGAUGGGGAAGAAAUUGAUGGUGGUCUGUUGAUAUCGAGAAGAAGGAAUUGAUGGAAAUUUGCUAAAUUAGGGUUUGGAUUGAGAUAUGAAGAUGAUUCUGAUAAUACUGGUGUUAACAGCGAGGAAUUGGAAUAGGGUUUUGUCUGAAUUAGGUUUUGAGAUGUUGGUGACGAGCUCUGUCCAGAAGAAUUGAUAUUAGGGUUUGGUGAUCUGAGCGACUUCUGUUUAGAUUUCGGUAAUCUUUUUCGAUUACGCUGUUGAAUUCAGAGAAGCAGAUUCAGAGUAAACAGCGAGGAAUUGAAGUGGUUUUGAUUGAAGUAGGUUUGGGUUUGUCUCGAAUUAACAGUUCAGAGAAGAUGAUAAUGGUAAAAUUGGAGUUAGGGUUUCUGGUGAAAUUGGAGUUAAGGUUUCUUGAUUUGUCCUGAUUGCUCUGUGAUUGAUUUCUCGGUUGAUGCACGAAUUUCUCGAAAUUGUGGCCCUCAGGUUGAUCAUGCAGGUAUCAGAAGCCAUUGUGAGCAGCAACACCAGUUUAAUCACUGUUACUACAGAAAGUGGUGACUACCCUUUAGGAACAUACUAGGAAGAUCAAUGAAGCCUGAAGGAUUUUUAUGUACCCAAUCAGAGCAAGCACAACAGACACCUGGAUCCUACUGAUAAUCUAGACUGAUCCGUGAACGUUUGAUUGUGGAAGACCUUCCAUUCCUAGAAAAGAACUACAGAUUUGGGCACCACUAACUUAUCUGGGUUUUAUUUUAGUAUCUAUAUCUAUCAUUCCCAAAUCCUUGGCAGGGAUGGUGGUACUCUGGGAACUUUCCUUACGGAAUGGGUAGAUAUGCUCAGUUCAGUUUAGCAGAUGGGGGAUUGAUGUGUGAUGUUGUCCAUUGUGGGGCUGUGAAGAAAGCAUACUUAAUUAAAAUUCCCUCUUUGGAUUCGACAUGAUGAUUCUGCCUUUCUAGACUGUCCUAUGAGGACUUCCAAUACUAGAUUCUUGAGCAUGCUAUAGAUGGAAAAUCCAAGAUAACAUUGAGGUACUCAUAUAAGUAGUUUUUGAAGUUAUUGAGGAGCUAGCUGUUCCUGAGAAUAAAUUCAUAUACGGGAAAAAUCAGUUUCUUUAAUAAGUGAAUAGACUUCAAAAGAUAAUAGUGGUUUGGUUGUAUGGAUUGCGCUUGACAACCACCCUCUGUAUUGUGAAGCACACAAUUUAUUUUGUGUCCAUAUUGAUGCGCUAAAGGUACGUGCAUAUCGAUUCCUUUGUCUUGCUGCUUCGUUGCUUAAGCUUUCUUAUUUUAUAUUUCAUCUGAGCAUAAUAAUUCAUAUGAAUCACAAAAAUCUUUUGGAACCUCACCUGCGGAUAGAAACGGAUGCAUUGAAUUAGGUACAUGGUUUUGAACUUGCAACUAAUAUGAUUUUGAUACUGAUCACAUCCCACACUUUCCGCUUCCUCUAGGCAGUGUACGUAGGCUGUAAAAUUUUCUGCCCAUGUGGUAUACUGGUGAGUUGCAGUUUCAAUGUAGAAUCAGUUCCACUUUCUCCCAGAUGAUAACAUUGUAUUACCGAAGUUUUUAGAACUAUAAUGUGAAAUCGGAAAUUUACCCAAAAGAUACAACUGAUUGCAAUAUUGAACCUCUUGACAUCCAUAAUUGUUAUAAUUUUAGUUUUGAGUUAAUCAACCUAGCCAGUGUUUCUUUAUCGGUAUAGUGAUUUGGUAUCAAUUUAAAAUGUAAUUGUCAUAUGUAAUGGAAAGGUAUUUAUGUAUCUAUUAUGACAUUGUUCCUUUUACUAAGCUUACAGAAGUGCUAACAAGGUUUGGUUAAAGUUCAAAAGGAUGUGAUGAUUACAGACACGGACCUAUUCCUCCACAUUCGACUGCCAAGGCUUUUGCUUGUAUUUAAGCCAAGGAGAUAGCGAUGCUGAUGCAUUUUUUAUAAUGAUAUAAUUGUAGGGGGAUAAAUUAUAUUAUCCCCCUACAAUCAUCUCCUCUGUUCUCUUUAACCUUCGACCCUAAUUUCAGAUGUUUAUUUGUUUCAAUCGAAUCAGCUUAAUGAAAAACAACAAUCUGGGGCUGUGCUGUAAUUGGGGAUUUCGUCAAAGUCCAUAUUUCAUAUCUCAUACACCGAGAAACAGUAAUUGGGGAUUUUGGAGCUGUGUUGUAAUUGGGGAUUUUUAAAUUUGAUUCAAAUCAGUUGAAGUGUCAUUAAUCAAUAGAGUUUUUUAUAUAUCGAACUCUUUAAUCUUUUUUUCGUGAAUUUCCGGCGCAAUCAAAACCGUUGUGUUCAUGGGAGACCCAGAUGGAUUUGGAGUUUAAGCUUCCCCAUGAUCUAGCACGGGACAAUCAGAGGUUGAAUUGGAGUUGUGAUUGUUGAGCAGUUUUCAUGGAUUUGCAUCCAAUUAUAAUCACCACUGAGUGCAUGAAAGAAGUUAAGUGUUCAUGGACCGUCGAAGCUGCCACGGACUGUUUCGAGGGAAAUAUUGAGACUAUCCUUAGUCGUCAGAACCAUCUAGCUUGCAAUAAGUUAAAUUUGAGAGUUGUUAGUCAGAUUGGUGUCCCUUGGAGCAUCAAUACGCAUCCCAAGUUUUUGAUUCUGUCCCUAGGUAUCAUAGAAAAAAAUUAAUUGCACAACAAAUGAGGUAUUCAGCUCAAGCUUCGGCGACAAGAGGCAUUAAACAAGUGACAUGAUGGACGGUCCAGUGAUGCCAAACUCCCAUGUUCAUUCCAGCGUCACAAUCUAUUGUUAAGAAGAGACAUCGAUUCGGUAUAUACUGGCAUAUGACAGAGAGAUACCAAUAUGUGCGAAGACUAAAGUUGGCUGGAGUCCAUCAACUUAAGAAGAAAUAAUGGCGGCAUCUGCGAUAGGCUCUUUCUUAUGGAUGGGGGUGAAUGUACUGAAGCCUAAGGAACAUGAGACUUGAAAGAGGAUCCAUAGAAUAAGGAGCUUGCAGAUAGCUUACUAAAGGUGUAUCUCUUUUGCAAUUAAUAAUUGCAGGUGAAUAUUUCAGUUUUAGGAUUUGGGCAUCUACAGGUUUGGCAGAGUGUACUGUUAUGUUGAAUUUUAAAUUUGUGCAGUAAAGUUGUAGGCUGACGUUGGCAACAAUUUCAGUUGGAAAGAACCUUCUCCAUAAAUUAGUACCACUGUUGCAACCAUAUAUUAGUUGUUUUUUUGUUGCUAAGAGAUUAAGAUUCAAUCUUCACUCCUAAUUGACCGUGUUGGUAGUCUACUUUAUAUUUUAGUUGAUUUUGAUGGACUGCAUUGUGAAAAAUUAUUACAUAUUUAUGUGACUUUGUAAAAUACGUUUACUCUUUUGUA